This 497-nucleotide ribosomal RNA is filed under the name uncultured bacterium. RNAcentral's name for it is "partial 16S ribosomal RNA". It matches the Rfam family "Bacterial small subunit ribosomal RNA", at positions 28 to 507 of the family's 1533-position model. The record is from RNAcentral.
GACGAACGCUGGCGGCGUGCCUAAUACAUGCAAGUUGAGCGAUGAAGCUUGGUGCUUGCACCAAUUUGAAGAGCAGCGAACGGGUGAGUAACGCGUGGGGAAUCUGCCUUUGAGCGGGGGACAACAUUUGGAAACGAAUGCUAAUACCGCAUAAUAACUUUAAACAUAAGUUUUAAGUUUGAAAGAUGCAAUUGCAUCACUCAAAGAUGAUCCCGCGUUGUAUUAGCUAGUUGGUGAGGUAAAGGCUCACCAAGGCGAUGAUACAUAGCCGACCUGAGAGGGUGAUCGGCCACAUUGGGGCUGAGACACGGCCCAAACUCCUACGGGAGGCAGCAGUAGGGAAUCUUCGGCAAUGGACGAAAGUCUGACCGAGCAACGCCGCGUGAGUGAAGAAGGUUUUCGGAUCGUAAAACUCUGUUGGUAGAGAAGAACGUUGGUGAGAGUGGAAAGCUCAUCAAGUGACGGUAACUACCCAGAAAGGGACGGCUAACUACGUG